This 473-nucleotide ribosomal RNA is filed under the name uncultured bacterium. Its description in RNAcentral is "bacterial SSU rRNA". It matches the Rfam family "Bacterial small subunit ribosomal RNA", at positions 335 to 802 of the family's 1533-position model. The record is from RNAcentral.
ACUCCUACGGGAGGCAGCAGUAGGGAAUCUUCCACAAUGGACGAAAGUCUGAUGGAGCAACGCCGCGUGAGUGAAGAAGGGUUUCGGCUCGUAAAACUCUGUUGUUAAAGAAGAACAUAUCUGAGAGUAACUGUUCAGGUAUUGACGGUAUUUAACCAGAAAGCCACGGCUAACUACGUGCCAGCAGCCGCGGUAAUACGUAGGUGGCAAGCGUUGUCCGGAUUUAUUGGGGCGUAAAGCGAGCGCAGGCGGUUUUUAAGUCUGAUGUGAAAGCCUUCGGCUCAACCGAAGAAGUGCAUCGGAAAUUGGGAAACUUGAGUGCAGAAGAGGACAGUGGAACUCCAUGUGUAGCGGUGAAAUGCGUAGAUAUAUGGAAGAACACCAGUGGCGAAGGCGGCUGUCUGGUCUGUAACUGACGCUGAGGCUCGAAAGUAUGGGUAGCAAACAGGAUUAGAUACCCUGGUAGGAUAGCG